Molecule: non-coding RNA, 263 nt
Organism: Hydra vulgaris (swiftwater hydra)
Lineage: Eukaryota; Metazoa; Cnidaria; Hydrozoa; Anthoathecata; Hydridae
Source: RefSeq, a predicted model, not a curated record
UAUAGACAUUGAAAGAGUUGAAAAGUUUGACAUUUUACAAAAUGAUACAGCUAAAAUUUCUUGUUUGGAUAUAGACAUUGAUGCUAUUGAAAUGUUUGAAAUUGUACAAACUGGUACAACUUGCAAUAAUGAUGGUGAUUGUAACACAAUUAAUAUUUUAGAAACUUCAACAGCUGAGCUAACUGAAGUUUCUUACACAGAUUUGAAUGUAGAUGAUAUUGAAGUAAAUAGUGAUAUUACAAAUGACCCAAGUAAUAAGAAAA